GUGAUACGCCUGUUGGGUAGGGGAGCGUUGUGUAAGUCGAUGAAGGUGUAUUGAGAAGUAUGCUGGAGAUAUCACAAGUGCGAAUGCUGACAUAAGUAACGAUAAAACGAGUGAAAAACUCGUUCGCCGGAAGACCAAGGGUUCCUGUCCAACGUUAAUCGGGGCAGGGUGAGUCGGCCCCUAAGGCGAGGCUGAAAAGCGUAGUCGAUGGGAAACGGGUUAAUAUUCCCGUACUUGGUAAAGCUGCGAUGUGGGGACGGAGAAGGUUAGGUUAGCAGACUGUUGGAUGUCUGUUUAAGUUGGUAGGUGGGGAGUUUAGGCAAAUCCGGACUUCCAUAACACUGAGAGAUGAUGACGAGUUUCUACGGAAAUGAAGUAACUGAUACCACGCUUCCAGGAAAAGCCACUAAGCGAAAGGCUUUACUAAACCGUACUGAAAACCGACACAGGUGGUCAGGUAGAGAAUACUCAGGCGCUUGAGAGAACUCGGGUGAAGGAACUAGGCAAAAUAGCACCGUAACUUCGGGAGAAGGUGCGCUGGCGUAGGUUGUAAGAGUAUACCUCCGAAGGCUGAACCAGUCGAAGAUACCAGCUGGCUGCAACUGUUUAUUAAAAACACAGCACUCUGCAAACACGAAAGUGGACGUAUAGGGUGUGAUGCCUGCCCGGUGCUGGAAGGUUAAUUGAUGGUGUUAUCGAAAGAGAAGCUCCUGAUCGAAGCCCCAGUAAACGGCGGCCGUAACUAUAACGGUCCUAAGGUAGCGAAAUUCCUUGUCGGGUAAGUUCCGACCUGCACGAAUGGCAUAAUGAUGGCCAGGCUGUCUCCACCCGAGACUCAGUGAAAUUGAAAUCGCCGUGAAGAUGCGGUGUACCCGCGGCUAGACGGAAAGACCCCGUGAACCUUUACUAUAGCUUGACACUGAACAUUGAAUUUUGAUGUGUAGGAUAGGUGGGAGACUUAGAAGCAGGCACGCCAGUGCUUGUGGAGUCGUCCUUGAAAUACCACCCUUUAACGUUUGAUGUUCUAACGAAGAUUACGAAACGUGGUCUCGGACAGUGUCUGGUGGGUAGUUUGACUGGGGCGGUCUCCUCCCAAAGUGUAACGGAGGAGCACGAAGGUUUGCUAAUCACGGUCGGACAUCGUGAGGUUAGUGCAAUGGUAUAAGCAAGCUUAACUGCGAGACAGACAAGUCGAGCAGGUGCGAAAGCAGGUCAUAGUGAUCCGGUGGUUCUGAAUGGAAGGGCCAUCGCUCAACGGAUAAAAGGUACUCCGGGGAUAACAGGCUGAUACCGCCCAAGAGUUCAUAUCGACGGCGGUGUUUGGCACCUCGAUGUCGGCUCAUCACAUCCUGGGGCUGAAGUAGGUCCCAAGGGUAUGGCUGUUCGCCAUUUAAAGUGGUACGCGAGCUGGGUUUAGAACGUCGUGAGACAGUUCGGUCCCUAUCUGCCGUGGGCGUUGGAGAAUUGAGAGGGGCUGCUCCUAGUACGAGAGGACCGGAGUGGACGCAUCACUGGUGUACCAGUUGUCUCGCCAGAGGCAUUGCUGGGUAGCUAAAUGCGGAAGAGAUAAGUGCUGAAAGCAUCUAAGCACGAAACUCGCCUUAAGAUGAGUUCUCCCUAGCUAUAAGCUAGUAAGGGUUGUUGAAGACUACGACGUAGAUAGGUCUGGUGUGUAAGCGGUGUGAGCCGUUGAGCUAACAGAUACUAAUUGCCCGAGAGGCUUAACUAUACAACCUCAAGCGUU
Molecule: ribosomal RNA, 1744 nt
Filed under: Glaesserella parasuis
Lineage: Bacteria; Pseudomonadati; Pseudomonadota; Gammaproteobacteria; Pasteurellales; Pasteurellaceae
Description: partial 23S ribosomal RNA
Rfam family: Bacterial large subunit ribosomal RNA
Source: RNAcentral